UGGGCAACCUGCCCCUCUCUCUGGGAUAACCCCCGGGAAACCGGAGCUAAUACCGGAUACUCCGGCUGGAUCGCAUGGUCCGGCCGGGAAAGGUCCGCCGGAGAGGGAUGGGCCCGCGGCCUAUCAGCUUGUUGGUGGGGUCAUGGCUCACCAAGGCGACGACGGGUAGCCGGCCUGAGAGGGCGAUCGGCCACACUGGGACUGAGACACGGCCCAGACUCCUACGGGAGGCA
This 233-nucleotide ribosomal RNA is filed under the name uncultured bacterium. RNAcentral describes it as "partial 16S ribosomal RNA". It matches the Rfam family "Bacterial small subunit ribosomal RNA", at positions 118 to 350 of the family's 1533-position model. The record is from RNAcentral.